This 403-nucleotide ribosomal RNA is filed under the name bacterium. Its description in RNAcentral is "partial 16S ribosomal RNA". It matches the Rfam family "Bacterial small subunit ribosomal RNA", at positions 355 to 776 of the family's 1533-position model. The record is from RNAcentral.
UGGGGAAUAUUGCACAAUGGAGGGAACUCUGAUGCAGCGACGCCGCGUGAACGAAGAAGGCUUUCGAGUCGUAAAGUUCUUUUAUAUGGGAAGAUAAUGACGGUACCAUAAGAAAAAGCCCCGGCUAACUACGUGCCAGCAGCCGCGGUAAUACGUAGGGGGCUAGCGUUGUCCGGAAUCACUGGGCGUAAAGGGUUCGCAGGCGGAAAUGCAUGUCAGGUGUAAAAGGCAGUAGCUUAACUACUGUAAGCAUUUGAAACUGAAUAUCUUGAGAAGAGUAGAGGUAAGUGGAAUUUUUAGUGUAGCGGUGAAAUGCGUAGAUAUUAAAAAGAAUACCGGUGGCGAAGGCGACUUACUGGGCUCAUUCUGACGCUGAGGAACGAAAGCGUGGGUAGCAAACAGG